AGAACGAACGCUGGCGGCAUGCCUAAUACAUGCAAGUCGAACGAACACUUCGGUGUUAGUGGCGCACGGGUGCGUAACGCGUGGGAAUCUGCCCUUGGGUUCGGAAUAACAGUUGGAAACGACUGCUAAUACCGGAUGAUAUCGAAAGAUCAAAGAUUUAUCGCCCAGGGAUGAGCCCGCGUAGGAUUAGCUAGUUGGUGAGGUAAAGGCUCACCAAGGCGACGAUCCUUAGCUGGUCUGAGAGGAUGAUCAGCCACACUGGGACUGAGACACGGCCCAGACUCCUACGGGAGGCAGCAGUAGGGAAUAGUGGACAAUGGGCGCAAGCCUGAUCCAGCAAUGCCGCGUGAGUGAUGAAGGCCGUUAGGGUGUAAAGCUCUUUACCGAGAUGAUAAUAGACAGUAGU
RNAcentral lists this ribosomal RNA (406 nucleotides) under uncultured soil bacterium. Its description in RNAcentral is "bacterial SSU rRNA". It matches the Rfam family "Bacterial small subunit ribosomal RNA", at positions 26 to 460 of the family's 1533-position model. The record is from RNAcentral.